This 496-nucleotide ribosomal RNA is filed under the name uncultured bacterium. RNAcentral describes it as "partial 16S ribosomal RNA". It matches the Rfam family "Bacterial small subunit ribosomal RNA", at positions 28 to 506 of the family's 1533-position model. The record is from RNAcentral.
GAUGAACGCUGGCGGCGUGCCUAAUACAUGCAAGUCGAGCGAACGGACGAGAAGCUUGCUUCUCUGAUGUUAGCGGCGGACGGGUGAGUAACACGUGGAUAACCUACCUAUAAGACUGGGAUAACUUCGGGAAACCGGAGCUAAUACCGGAUGAUAUUUUGAACCGCAUGGUUCAAAAGUGAAAGACGGUCUUGCUGUCACUUAUAGAUGGAUCCGCGCUGCAUUAGCUAGUUGGUAAGGUAACGGCUUACCAAGGCAACGAUGCAUAGCCGACCUGAGAGGGGGAUCGGCCAAACUGGAACUGAGACACGGUCCCGACUCAUACGGGAGGCAGCAGUAGGGAAUCUUCCGAAAUGGGCGAAAGCCUGACGGAGCAACGCCGGGGGAGUGAUGAAGGUCUUCGGAUCGUAAAACUCUGUUAUUAGGGAAAAAAAUAUGUGUAAGUAACUGUGCACAUCUUGACGGUACCAAAUAAGAAAGCCACGGCUAACUACGU